Molecule: RNA transcript, 708 nt
Organism: Zea mays
Lineage: Eukaryota; Viridiplantae; Streptophyta; Magnoliopsida; Poales; Poaceae
Gene name: nuclease HARBI1 pseudogene
Exons: 4
Source: RefSeq, marked validated
GGGGCUAUCUGGCCUAGCCUCACGAGGUCGGGCUGGAAACCCUCGCCUCUCGCGGUCUCGCCUCUCCAAGACACCCAGGCCGCCGCCUUCGCCUACAGGCACCUUGCCGCCUCCGUCCGCUGCCCGUGGCUUCCGUCCACCUCCACCUCACUCACCCACUACAUCGCCGACCAAGCGCAGCACCGCGCGUGGACCAGACACCGCCCGUGGCUUCCGUGGACCAGACGCCGCCCGUGGCUUCCGUGGACGCAGCACCGUGCGUGGACCAGCCGCUGCUACAUCGCCGACCAGCUAUAUAUGCUUCCCUUUAUUCUGAAAAGAGGCCAGUACACACUUCUUGUCGUAGUGGUGCACAAAAAAUUAGAGAAAUUUCUACAAGCAGGUAGCUGCGAGGACUGCUAUUUAGUUACCAACAAUGUGUCCGAUUGUUGUGGCUUAGGGACGAGAUUCACAAGCAGAUGUGCUGAUCCAAUUCAGUUUUCAGAGUAUGUUGACAAUCUGAAUUUAGUUCAAGCAAUACCUUCUCUUUAUUACAGAUGUUUAACCAGGUGAUACACAAGGGAUUUUCAUCAACAAGUGGUCGCCAGAAGAACUGAAACAUCAAGAUGGCGUUUGCUUUUAGGUCGUGUAUGUUGAAACUAUAUGUUUUAUUAUUAUGCACUGAGACUAUGUUUGACAUUGGUCGUGUACACUGAGACUAUGUUUUAU